AGCGAUUGAACAAAGUAGCCUGUAAUGAAUAACAAUUCACUGGUACUCUAUGGGAAUCCAACGCCCAGUGAUUUACUUUUUUUAGAGAGUCCAUCUUUCUCGUCAAGUACCUCUUCAACUCUUUCUUCAACUAGGUCGGACGCGCAAAGCGCUCCACCUGAGUUAGAGCGGGUAUUUGAUCGAAUCUGUGAUGAAUACGCAGAGUGGGUGGUGAGAGCCGGUAAGCAAUUACCCCCAGAAUGGAGCAUGCCGGACCUUGUUCGGACAGUGAUUGGGGACGAGGCAAUUCACAUCCCAGGCUUUCUCAAGGAUUCAUAUUAUGAUGUUAUGUUACAUGGACCAAAUAGUUGGUUAUGCAACGAGGUUUUUCAGUUUUUGGAUCUAAUUACCAGCUAAUAUAAACAUA
This 406-nucleotide unclassified non-coding RNA is filed under the name Hevea brasiliensis (rubber tree). The record is from RNAcentral. Lineage: Eukaryota; Viridiplantae; Streptophyta; Magnoliopsida; Malpighiales; Euphorbiaceae.